GAGUUUGAUCCUGGCUCAGGACGAACGCUGGCGGCGUGCCUAACACAUGCAAGUCGAACGGAGAUUAUUAAAGAAGCUUGCUUCAAUAAUAAUCUUAGUGGCGGACGGGUGAGUAACGCGUGGGCAACCUACCUAUAAGAGGGGGAUAACAGUUGGAAACGACUGCUAAUACCGCAUAAGCUUCCUAUAAAUAAAUAGGAAGUAAAGAUGGCCUCUGAUACAAGCUGUCACUUAUAGAUGGGCCCGCGUCUGAUUAGCUAGUUGGUGGGGUAAAGGCCUACCAAGGCGACGAUCAGUAGCCGGCCUGAGAGGGUGGACGGCCACACUGGGACUGAGACACGGCCCAGACUCCUACGGGAGGCAGCAGUGGGGAAUAUUGCGCAAUGGGGGAAACCCUGACGCAGCGACGCCGCGUGAGCGAAGAAGGCCUUAGGGUCGUAAAGCUCUGUUUUAAGGGACGAAGUCUCUCCGGAGUAAUAUAUCGGAGAGGUGACGGUACCUUACGAGAAAGCCCCGGCUAACUACGUGCCAGCAGCCGCGGUAAUACG
RNAcentral lists this ribosomal RNA (548 nucleotides) under uncultured low G+C Gram-positive bacterium. Its description in RNAcentral is "bacterial SSU rRNA". It matches the Rfam family "Bacterial small subunit ribosomal RNA", at positions 9 to 527 of the family's 1533-position model. The record is from RNAcentral. Lineage: Bacteria; Bacillati; Bacillota.